RNAcentral lists this ribosomal RNA (378 nucleotides) under uncultured organism. RNAcentral's name for it is "partial 16S ribosomal RNA". It matches the Rfam family "Bacterial small subunit ribosomal RNA", at positions 527 to 896 of the family's 1533-position model. The record is from RNAcentral.
GUAGGUGGCAAGCGUUGUCCGGAAUUAUUGGGCGUAAAGCGCGCGCAGGCGGUCCUUUAAGUCUGAUGUGAAACGCCCACGGCUCAACCGUGGAGGGUCAUUGGAAACUGGGGGACUUGAGUACAGAAGAGGAAAGCGGAAUUCCAAGUGUAGCGGUGAAAUGCGUAGAGAUUUGGAGGAACACCAGUGGCGAAGGCGGCUUUCUGGUCUGUAACUGACGCUGAGGCGCGAAAGCGUGGGGAGCAAACAGGAUUAGAUACCCUGGUAGUCCACGCCGUAAACGAUGAGUGCUAAGUGUUAGGGGGUUUUCCCGCCCCCCUUAGUGCUGCAGCUAACGCAUUAAGCACUCCGCCUGGGGGAGUACGGCCCGCAAGGCUG